GUUGAAAAUCCUUAUUUUUAUCCCUUCUUUUCCUCUCUCUUCCUUCUCUUCUUUUCUUUUCUUGCACUGCGUUUCCCUUUUUGCGUUCUAUCUCUGUUUUCUGAUUUUUAUUUCUCACGCUUAGACCAUCAGACUUUAAAUUCCCCCCCCCCCCCCGCCACCCACACCCUCUUUUUUUGGGCUUGGCCCAAUUCUUUCUUUUUCUUUUUAAUAAUACGUAAUUCUCUUUUGAUAAAUUAUAAAUUAACCUCUCAUUAAAAUUGGGGUUGUUACAACUAGAACUUCUCAUCAUGAGAUAUAAGAUACGAUCUCUGCUUAGCCAUAGUCUUCUCCCAUAGUGGUGUAAGAGAUAUCCAAAGAAUCUUGGUGGACUACCUUUGGAAGCAGUACAAUUAGACUCCGUAGAGGUAAGGGAAGCAUCUACAUCAACAAGCUUAAGGAGUUGUUUGGUACACUUUUUUAUUUUUAUUUUUAUUUUUUAUCAUUUACAUGUGUCUCAUGAGAAAGAUCCUUGAUUGAAAUCCAGAUUCUUCGCCACCUUCUCUCCUUGAUUUUGAGAUUGUAAGGAUUUCUGCCCUCUUUCUCUUCAAAUUAAACUGGCAAAAUGGUUCGUUAUAAAUUUUUUACGUUACAGUCUUUCAUUAUUUUAUUCGAUCCAACGUUUCCCUCAGACUAGUAUGGGAAAUAAGGUUCAAAGGGAGGAAGAGAAGUCAAAGGAGAGGUGGGAGGUAUCACAAAUAUUAUUGUGAAGAAGCUGAUUGAGUAUUAAUCGGAUUCAAACUAAUAAAGGAGACCAUGAAUAAGGCUCCGGAAUGGAAGUGUUGUUAGGGAGCUGAAUGUCAUGCCAGACAUUAAUAUGGUUGCCAGUAGCAAUGUGCCAUUUAGUUCCCAUGCGAACUAAAUGGUCACCUCAAGCUAGACUCUUCCACAUAUAAGAGGCAGUGGGUUUCACUGUGAGGGUAUUGGGUAAGGGAUGGGUCUAGAACAUUAGCCCAAAGGGCGUGGGGAUAGCAAUGAAAUCGCCAAGCCAGGCUAGCCAAAAGGCCUAAGUAUUUUCCCUUUGUUUUCUAAAUUCCUAUACCUCUGGGCCGGUGAGAUAAUAUGGCCUUGUCCUAAUAAACAAGAUGGAUCUUUGUUUUGGUAGGAGUAGUGAUCAAUAGGAAAUUGCGUUGAAUUUUACAACGUCGGUAGUAAUUUUGGGCGGAGGAACGUUAUUAUGCAUGGCAUAAGUAAGGAUAGAGGCAAGAACAGAUGUAAUGAGGGUUCUAUGUCCAGCAAGACUGAGAAAUUUGAUUUUCCAAUCUUGGAAUAGAUAUGUUCAUGCGAUCAAGGAUAUAUUGAUGAUCUUGGCUGCGAGGCUGUAUGUUACAUCCCACACUUUUAUACGUUAAAGUGUGUCAUAAGUUCGGAGAGUAAGGCCAUUCUUAAGUUUAUAAGUGAUUAAAACCGUGUUUAGUAAGUAUCAUAUAGAUUAGAGGUUAAUCGAGUCGAAGAAAAGAAGUUUCGUUAGAAGUCGGCAAAAGUUAUCGCAAGUUACGUUCAUAAGUUUACUGAAAUUUGGGUCUAAUGUCACUGAGCUUUUCUUUUAAUAUACUUGGAGUUAUGGGAUGAUCCACCAACCAAAUUGAAGGUCUACGAGUCUAGUUUCAAACGCAUCACCGUUCAUCGAUACAACGUCAGGAUAGAGAGAUAUUUACAUUUUUGCGAGACUGCGCAGGUAGCCCCCUUUGGGACCCACAUAGGCGGUGGAUGUUUAUCCACCUAUUUUAAAGUGGUGCAAGGUUCAUUUGAGCUCAUUGUUCGACCUAUCUAGACCCUAUACACUCCGAACACUCUCAAAGUGUUCUCCAUGAUUCAAGAGUGAAAACCAAAGUAAAACACCCAAAUCCAAUGUCGGGAAUCUCGUGAUGCUAGUUAGAUCAAGUUCUUCUUCUUUAUUGUUGAGUUGGAGGUUUCCUUGAUGUGAAGUAAUCUCAGAUCAGAGGUCAUUCUUGCUGGUUGGGAUCACAAGUUCUCUUGUUUUGGUUGAUUUGAAGUUUGUUUCAAGGUGAACAAAGCUUGGAAUUGGUGUUGUCCCUACUGUUUUAAGGUAAUAUCUUCCACCUCUUUCAUGUGUUAGGGUAUAUCUAGAUACUGGCUAAGUUGUUUGAAGCUAGAACUUACGAGUCGACGGUCAAAAGUCGUAUAGAAGUUGUGAUACCAUGGACUAUUUUGAGGUAUUUUUAUGAUGCAUAUAUAUAUAUAUAUAUAUAUAUAUAUGUAUGUUGUUAAUAUGUAGUUUGAAGAGAAGAAGAAGUAUAGAAGUGUUGUGUUGCUAGUUAAGGACUGAGCUUGCUGCUCGAUGUAUCGUAUGCUAGCUAUUCCUUAGCUUGACGUUGGCCCUAUUGUUGUUGUUAUAUUGCAUUGUUGGGCUAUUCUUGUGUUGUUAAGGUGAUGGAUAGAUGGAUUAAUGGUGGCAUAUUAUUGUUGAUGUUGUGACCUUGAGGGAGGUGAAAGAAACGUGGGAGAUGCUGCCCGAUUUGCCCUAGAAUGAGCUUGUCACUCGAUAGCUAGUUGAUGUGUUACUCUUGUUGCUAGUAGUGUUGUUUUCAUUGGUGUAGAUUAUGUUGAAGAGGAGACUGUCCCACCAUCUUCGUCGAAGGAUCGACUUAAAGGUACUAAGUCCUUCCUUUCUUUCGACAUGAUUUCGUAAGUCACUUCGCCCUUAUAAGAAGUUCAAGGAGACGAGUUAUCAUAUAUGUUUCCUUCCGACGCUUGAGAUCCGUCGUGAGUUUGCAGAUAGUUAUAUGCGAGUAUAAAAGGUGUAUCUAGAUGUAAUUCCCUCAAAGUACUCUUAUGAGUAGUUAAAUCCUUCAGACAGCUUAGUACAGGUUAUGUCCCUACGAGUAGUUAUUUACUAUGAAAUGAGUAGCAAUGUUUGCAACUUCCUCAGCAUUCCUUAGAAGUAAGUAGAGCCUUCAGAAAAUCUAGUGCCUUGUAUAUAUUGAGAAGUGAACACUUAGUUGAUAGUCACAUGAAUAAGUUAAUGAGCUAAAGAUAGUAGUUUGCAGAAUAAUAGAAGCAUACGAUUUAACAAGUAUCAUGACGUUCAAUAGUUACAACUAUAUGAUUUCAAGAUAAUUAUGUGGUUAUAAAAUUGAUAUACUACUCCUAAGUUAAGUAAAACAAUAUGCGAGUUAAGAAAGAGUUAAGAGGCAGAAUAUGCAGCCAAAUGAGAAUAUGAGUUACGAGUUGUCAGUUACAGAUCACAGCAAGUCCCAUAACGAGGUUGUCAGUCGAUAGAAUAUGAGCCCGUAGCUUAUUACUUAUUGAUUGAUGGUUUCAUAUGAUCAGUCUAACGAGUUAGAAGUAUCGCAUAGUAAUUUGUAAAAGAUAGAAUCGUAUAAUUUCUCGAAACAGAUCAUAAAGCUCAAGUAAAGAUAGUGAUACGUUUCCUGAAGUAAUUAUAAACCUACUUAAUGAUAAGAGGAGUAUACUACGAGUAAGUAAAGCAGCAAGUUGCUUACUAAGAUUAUAAGUUGUUAAUCAUAGCGAGUUAUUUACGAGCUUACAGACAAAAGCUUACUUAUUAUUAGUGAUUGAUGCUUGUAUGAUUGUUAUGAAGUUGAAUAUGCAUAAGAUACGAGCCCUACAGACGGUCUAUGAACGCGUAGGCAUACAAUAAAAGGUUAGCCCUCUGGACGGUCUACGAAAGCAUAGGUGUAUAAUAAGGGUGGAUGUGGACGGUCUCAGUUGCACGCACAGUCCAGCCCGAGUAUCGUGAGCUGUAUGGACGGUCUAUUAUGUAAUGCGUAUGAGCCACUAGUUAUUCAUGAUUGUAAGUGAGUCGUACGGACGGUCUAUUAUGCAACGGGUACGAGCCACUAGUUAUUCAUGUUUGCAAGUGAGCCUUACGGACAGUCUGCGCUGCAACACAUAAGUGCCACUCUUAUUUUUCAGUUUAGCCUUAGGGCAUAUGAUCUAGCAGAGGUAAGUAAUCAGAUACAUUAUAUGAUAGUCAGAAUAGUAUUACAGAUAAGAAUCCUACAACAUAACAGUUCCACAGUAUAGAUAGUGUAUCCAGGUGAGGUCAGAUGUUUCGUGAUACGGUAAGAUGAAGUAUUCCAGUAUGUUAAUUCAUAUCCUUUCAGUAAAGUUUUACUUAUACAUUAUUUAUAUUCAUGAGCUCCAGAGUUAGGUAUAUAUAUCAUUUACAGCAUCAUUGCUUACAUUUUCCUUUAGGGCUAUACAAAUAUGCGCAUUGCAUUCAGGGCUAUACAAAGAUACAGUUUGUCGUCGGGCUAUUUACAUUUUCCUUUAGGGCUAUGCACUGCCUUCGGGGUUAUGCACUUAUACACUGAACCCCACAUGAGGCCGAAUAGUUUAUUUCAAUAUUGCAUUCAUGGUAUGAGACAGAGACUGGUAGAUAUGUUUCCAGAUUAUCAUUGACUCCUUAGUUUAUAUUCAGUAUAUCAUGUAUAUCAGUUCAAUUAUUCAGUUAUUAUCCGUCUUACAUACUUGGUACAAUUCUUUGUACCGACGUCCCAUUGUUGGGGCGCUGCAUUUCAUGCCUGCAGGUUUAGGUAACCAGUUUGACGAGCCCUCGCAGUAGACAGGGUCGAUAUUCAGCGAAGGAUCGGUAACACUCCAUUUCAUCCGGAGUGCAGCCGAGUCUAGUUGUCAGGGUAUCAGAUUAAGUUUGUAGACUUCAUGGGUAGGCCGGGGUCCUGUCCCGACCAUAUUAUGAUGUCAGUCACUCUUACAGACUUUUGUAGACGUAUGCACACCUGUGGUCAGUUAUAUUAUGUCAGCAGAGAGUUCGUACAUGUUGAGGCCUUAUAGGCCAUGUAUACAUAUAUGCUUGGGAUUUUCUGGUUGUAGAUACUUCGAAUGCAGUAGUUGUCAGUUGUACAGAAUGA
This is a long non-coding RNA of Lycium barbarum (goji berry), 4898 nucleotides long. RefSeq lists it as uncharacterized. NCBI's taxonomy places the organism in Eukaryota, Viridiplantae, Streptophyta, Magnoliopsida, Solanales, Solanaceae. The record is from RefSeq and is a predicted model, not a curated record. The transcript has 2 exons.